CUAAGUCCUAACAACUACGCAUUAGAUAAAUUUAGCAGCUUUUGCAGUAUACUAAGUUCAGACAACAAAAACAAUUAGCAGCUAACAACAAUGUCUAAUAUAUAGCUUGAGCUGUUUACAUUUUUUCUUACCAGAAGGCACGAACUGGUAAAUGAGCAAAAAUGAGAAAAACUUUACUUACCUCACCAACAACAACCUACGGCGGACACGUUACCGGAAGCCACGACCCAGGAAAUGUGGAAUCCCACGACAGAGGGCACGACGGCAGAGGCUAGGUAAAAGAAAGGCAACAAGAAGGUAAUGGCAGAGGCUAGGUUAUGGAAAAAGAAAGGCAACAACAAAGGGCAACAAGAAGGUAAUGGCAGAGGCUACUAACGUUUUGCUGAGGCUACUAACAGCAAGGUAAUUUUCGUAAAUGAAAAAUUAAUUUAAAAAUUCAACAACGACGGUGAUGUGUUAGGCACCGAUGUUGUAUUGAAUGAGUUUGUACUGAAACACGGUCGUUUAAUGAACUGCGUCAUCAACCAUUUCGGUUUUAGUUAAAAAUGUUGUCGUUCAUCUUGUGAUAUUUACAAAAAUGCCACCGUG
Molecule: long non-coding RNA, 588 nt
Filed under: Glycine max (soybean)
Lineage: Eukaryota; Viridiplantae; Streptophyta; Magnoliopsida; Fabales; Fabaceae
Description: long non-coding RNA (GMAX_LNC003567)
Source: RNAcentral